This 530-nucleotide ribosomal RNA is filed under the name uncultured bacterium. Its description in RNAcentral is "bacterial SSU rRNA". It matches the Rfam family "Bacterial small subunit ribosomal RNA", at positions 365 to 917 of the family's 1533-position model. The record is from RNAcentral.
CGCGCGGGCGGUAUACCUGAGCAGCACGCCGCGUGAGUGAUGAAGGUUUUCGGAUCGUAAAGCUCUGUCUUCAGGGAGAUAAUGACGGUACCUGAGGAGGAAGCCACGGCUAACUACGUGCCAGCAGCCGCGGUAAUACGUAGGUGGCGAGCGUUGUCCGGAUUUACUGGGCGUAAAGGGAGCGUAGGCGGAUUUUUAAGUGAGAUGUGAAAUACCCGGGCUCAACUUGGGUGCUGCAUUUCAAACUGGAAGUCUAGAGUGCAGGAGAGGAGAGUGGAAUUCCUAGUGUAGCGGUGAAAUGCGUAGAGAUUAGGAAGAACACCAGUGGCGAAGGCGACUCUCUGGACUGUAACUGACGCUGAGGCUCGAAAGCGUGGGGAGCAAACAGGAUUAGAUACCCUGGUAGUCCACGCCGUAAUCGAUGAAUACUAGGUGUAGGGGUUGUCAUGACCUCUGUGCCGCCGCAAACGCAUUAAGUAUUCCGCCUGGGGAGUACGGUCGCAAGAUUAAAACUCAAAGGAAUUGACGGA